CCAAUAGCGUAUAUUAAAGUUGUUGCAGUUAAAAAGCUCGUAGUUGAAUUUCGGGAUUCGUCCAUUGGUCAGGCUUAACUGUCUGUACUGGUGUGUCGGAUUUCUACCUUCUGAAGAACCUUCAUGCCAUUAAUUUGGUGUGUUGGGGAAUCAGGACUGUUACUUUGAAAAAAUUAGAGUGUUUAAAGCAGGCUAACGUCUGAAUACAUUAGCAUGGAAUAAUGAAAUAGGACGGUACGGUUCUAUUUUGUUGGUUUCUAGGAUCGCCGUAAUGAUUAAUAGGGAUAGUUGGGGGCAUUAGUAUUCAAUUGUCAGAGGUGAAAUUCUUGGAUUUAUUGAAGACUAACUACUGCGAAAGCAUUUGCCAAGGAUGUUUUCAUUAAUCAAGAACGAAAGUUAGGGGAUCGAAGACGAUCAGAUAACGUCGUAGUCUUAACCAUAAACUAUGCCGACUAGGGAUUAGACAAUGUUAAUUUUUUAAUGACUCGUUCGGCACCUUACG
This 502-nucleotide ribosomal RNA is filed under the name uncultured Glomeromycotina. Its description in RNAcentral is "partial small subunit ribosomal RNA". It matches the Rfam family "Eukaryotic small subunit ribosomal RNA", at positions 591 to 1092 of the family's 1831-position model. The record is from RNAcentral. Lineage: Eukaryota; Fungi; Glomeromycota.